AAGAUCAUCUCGCGUAAACUUGUCCUUUUGUGAACUGCUUGUGUGGCCGGAACCGAUCGACACGCAAUCCAAUGUUCUCCCUCUCCUUCGGAGUGCACAGCUUCCAAAAUUCACACCUCGCUCCGUCUUUAAUUUAGUUUCUUCUCCCUGUUCUCUCAAUCAGGAGCGUGUUUCUCUUUUGAAAUCGAGAGUGGGACGCGAUGGGAAGCGUAAAGGCCGGCGCCGACCGUUACUUCUCGCUCGCGAAAAAUAAAUCAAGUCGAGAACCGGGAACUUUACGCGAGAAGAAGAUUCGAGCCGGGAGAUCGCGAGCGACGAUUCCGUCAGGUGACGGGAAAUAAUGAGGAAAUGAAGAAGGCAAGAGAUAUGACGAAAAAUAGGCAGAGGAGACAAGUCGAUUGCACCGUAGACACUCUCCGUCGAACGCGUCUUCUUCCGUAUUCUCGAGCAGAAAGUAUUUCACGCUCGACGGUGCCAGACUGCGAAAAAUGUCGGGAACGCGCGAGUCACGCGUGGAAUUGACCUUUUACUUUAAAGUACCGUCUGCGACGAUCAUCUCGCUUCAUUCGUAAGGCCAGAAAACGUUGCCGAAUCCGCGAGAAGUACGCAUAGCGGUCGAGUAAUUUAAUAUAUUCACAGAGUCAUCAUUUCCGAGCAAAGUUUCGCGCGGAAAGAUAUACAUCCUGGUGGAAGGUUUAAUUAAUAAUCUUGAUCUACUUGCACACAAUGCUGAUAUAAGCCUGGCAAAGGAAAAGGUAUACGGGGUGUCCCAAAGUAGAUAUUAAUUUUGAAAGAGAAAUUUCAUUGAUAAAUUUUGAAAGCGAUAUUUUUUCCGAAUAAAAAUAUCAAGAUUAAGAUUAAUAUGUUUUUCUAAUUAUUCGACUAUCGAUUUUCGCAAGGCUUCAACAGCAAGCUUAAUGACGAAGCUAUUUGUCGUAAAGAAAAAACUAACGUAAAGUAAAAACAAUAACGCUCGGUCUAAAGAAAUAUAGAUUUCUUAAUUCCUGGCAGUUUCGAGACACUCUAUGCAGCCGAGUUUACGAGAUGGCGAUUAUGCGAAAACGCAUACGCCGUUCAUAUGAAUGAAUCGACGUUAGGUCGGACGAUACGCUUUGCCGGCUGCGAUUAUAUAAGAUUUGCCGGCUGCAAAUGGAUGGGAUUUAAAUCUAGACGGACGACGCAAUACCGCCGGCGUUCAUGAACACCCUUCAGCGGGUAAUCCGGCCGACAAUAGACGCCGGAAUGAGGAGGAAGAUGCCGGCGGGAGGCGGAAGUAUAAGGAAAUACGUAGUCGCAUACCUCGACGAGCAAUAACUUAUCUUCUAUCCGCUUCUUACCUUUUCCUCCUCGUUUCCGCAAUCGCAUAAAGCGCGCCCGAGUCGGAGGAGGAACUUGUCGAGUACAAGGCGCGGUUCCGUUCCGCGGAGAUACCGGCAAUUUCACCUGAUAUUCCGCGGCUCUCUGUGAGAAGCUAAGAAGAGACAAGAAGGGCGCAGCACACCACGUAACGACCGUUUGUCGUCCGUCAAUUUUCCUAAAGCGUUUCUCUCUAACGUCUCUCGAAAGUCUCGGUUGACUUAUGCGCUGCUCGAUCAACAUGAAUUUUACAACAUCGUCGAAAGUCGGCCUUUUCAACCUUCUCACUUCAAGUUUAAAUGCAUUAUUGUUAUUUUUGCUAUUAAUCGUGCUCAACCACUGUGGCUUUGUAUAUCGCAUAGUAAAAAAAAAAACAUGUCAUGUUGUUAUAUGAAGGAGUACGCGAACUCGGAGUAUGUUGUAUCGAAUUACGACAACAUAGUCUCGUCAAUAAGUUUCAGAAUAUUAGGGGCUUUAACGGAGGCUUUAAAUCUGCUCGAAUUAAGCAGAAACUGCGACGGAUUUGUCGUUAAGCGCUUUACCAAAUCGGUUAGGACUUUAAAAUUCCGUAAUUAUCCUGUGGUUAUCAAUAUUUUACAAAUUGAGAAUGAUCAAAAUAUACAAUAAAAUACAACAAUGCGACAAUUGAGAAAUUAUAAAACUCGGAGGUUUAAACUUCAGAAAAUGGAAAAUUAAUUAGAAAUAAAAUCACUGUACCAGUCAGUAGACAAAUAAGACAUUAAAUUAUUUAUCAAUCGAAUAAAAAACACUUUCAAGUAAAAAUGAUUAAUCAGUUCCGCAUUAAAACUUUCAUACAAAUUUAAUUAAAACAUCAUUUUUAUUUUAUUUUUUCUUAAUUAUCAUUUUUAAUAUCAAUUUUUAAAUAAAUUGUAAAUUAAUUUAUAUAUUUUUUACAUUUAAUAGUUAGUAAUUUAUUAUUUUGAUAUUUUUCUCUUAAAAAGUCGUUCACUGGUGACUGUUCCGCGACUGGUACAGUAAUUCUACUUGGAGAAUAGCACAGUGUCGCGUGGUCGACAAUUCUUGCACUUAAUACAAAAUAAACAAGCCGCUUACUAAUGGGAUUCUGUAAUUUACAUUCCGCGAAUUACGCAUAAUGCACCGUCUCCGUUUUCUCGCGUUGAUCCUCACCACGGUGCGAAGAGGCGGUCGCUUUUGGUUUUAAAAAUCAUUACUUUAAGACGAGGUAACUGCAUUAGUAGCAUCGUAAAUUCACGUCAGUGUAACCGAACGAGAAACGCUAUUAAUCUCUACUAUACCAGUGAUGCAGCCUUUUUCCUCGUCGGCACGCUCCUCCGUUCCGAAGGAAAUUUGUACUAUAAAUCAUAAAAAAUAAAGAACGCGUAGUUAGCGAUCGGUUUUCGUAAAGGAUAAGAUACAAGAGUAAUACGCGAGACUAAAGUACAGGAAAAUGCAUUUCCAAAUUGGGAGAGAAGUAGAGAAAACUUGCUGUAAAUCGUAAAAUGUGUGCGCUCAAUGGAGAACGAGUAAAAUUAGCGGCGCAUUUUUAACUGCAGCUUAUUCUCAAGUGCUACCGCGAUAACCUUGUUGGCCAUUAAACGCGCGGUCAUACCGCAUUAAGCGCGAUUUAUGUCACUUUGUGCCGGCUAAUGGGUUCUUUGAAGAACCGCUUUGAAUUUCAACGCUGACCUAUCGUAACGCGAGCAGGCAAGCGGCAUCCGCUUCGAUUUGCCUCGGUCGCCCUACGGAACGGAGGGCGAACGUCGGCCGGCGAGCUCGUCUCUCCCUUUAGCCGAUCGAUCGUAAAAUAUUUGCUGCAGCCUUCGCGUACGGUGGGAAAAUUCCUAUAAUGGAGUUUGCACGUCGCGCCAACGGUGGGUUAGAUAGCUAGAGGCUGAAGAGAGGCUGUGCGGCGACCCCUGCGUGUGUACGUUACACGCGAUAGAGAAUGUCGGUCGGGCUGAUUUAUAAGCGAACGCGUGCAACGAGCGCGCAUAAAAUUCAUACACUAAAUUAAAUACGGCCAUAAGUAUCCCAAGUACUCGCAGGUAUACCGUGAGCAUACUCGUGAAACUUUACGGAGAGCGAUUAUUUAUCUCGCGGGCUCACGCACCGUCGUGGAAGCGCGCGCGAAUAAUAUAAGCGAUUAAUCUGGCCGACCAUUGUUCUACGAGAUCUGAUUAUUUGAUUACGCGUUAAACGUAUUUCGUCGCGCGAUUAAAUCGAUCGCGCGCAUCGGAAGCGCCGGGCAGUCCGGUUGGUGUAACGCGACCGUUGCGUUUAAAUCUCGUGCUUUAUGGCCGACGAUGAUAAUCGUCUCGCGAUGAUGAAUGUAUAAAUAAAUUUAUCGUUUAUACGACAUAAAAAGUUUGCUUUCAAAGUAAAGAUCCUUUUAAUGUUGGGAGAAAGUGAUCUGAUAAUGUUCCUUCAACAUUUCAAAAAUAAAUUCGCCAUGGAUUGUCAGGUACAUCCUUUUCACGAGCGAUCCGAUAAAUGUGCAGCACGGCGAAUUUCAGGCCUGCGAAUUUGAGAAAUUUGCCAGGGUGCCAGCAUGAAAUUCCACGAAUAUCCAUCGAUAACGGACGAGACCGUCGUCGACGGCGUUUGACGUCAAUCUUGCAACGAAGAGCGACAACGAUGCGACGACGACGUCGGUGCGCUUUUCGCCGACGUGACGAGGGCCGAUUAGCGCUCGCAAAUUCCCAAACAAUGCACGAGGAAUUUACGACGCCGUCGCUCCAUCGUAAACUCCAGUGUGUUGGCUAACUACCGUGACACCCUUCCGACAAGGGCUGAUUAUGCUGCCCUGAAGCGACUGAAACGUUACAGGGCGUAAAGAAGAGCGAAGCCCCGUCGAUGGAGAUGAUCGUUCGAAACUGGCAGAGGGUCGCGCGGAAGGAGGUGCGCAUUCAUCCCCUCGUCUCUGCCUCGGAUCUUGGUGUGCCACUCCUGGAUAAGAUAAUGAAAUAGUUCGACUCCGGACGAACUCUGCAUCAGCGUGGCUCUCCUCGAUGUCACGGCAGUUCGUGCGAAAGAACCGGGCUAUGGCAGGUAGAACCGAGAGGGAUAUGCGAGCAGGAUGAAAAUACGUUACGUGCGUCUCGCUUUCAUUCUCUUCUUUCCUGUCUUUUCUUUCUUUCCUGCUCGCAUUUCCUCCCUCUUUCGUUCACGAAUGUAACCAGGUACGUCUUUACGCGCGUUUCAUGACAUACGGACAAUAGCGGGGAAACGGGGGAGUAGGCGGCGGAGAAGAGGGUAACGCGUAAGGGUGAUACAGAGGGGGCGUAGUAUUAGGGGGAAUAGAGGGAUGGUAGAAGAGACGCGGAGGAGAUGGCGGACCGCGAGUACAUUGAAGAGAGACGGACGGAAGGACAAUGCAAAGGGUGGAGGGUAGUUGCAGCAAACCUCGUCCCGUGCGUCUGGCUGACUUUAUGGUGAUGGCUGAGACGUAAAAGAGAGGAAGACGGAUGCUAGAUAAAAGAGAGAAAGAGAGAGAGAGAGAGAGAGAGAUCAUGGAUCAUGCAGACAUGGGUUUCGCCCUUCAGCUUCGCCCGCGAGACGAAAACGUGAGAUUUCUAGAAUGGCAGCAUUUGCGAAAACGAAUUUAUGUAAAAAAGAUAUUCGUCAAGCGAUACAUAUAUAUAACGGAUGUGUAAAAUCAAUGCGUAAAUAUUUAAGUUUGAUUUAUAGAGAACGACCACAUAUUCACUGUUAGAUUUUUAUCAAUUCUUAAUACGAGUCAUGAUUGACUAAUGAUCCAUUGAAAUUCAUAAAUAAAAAAUUAAUUCGGUCGGAUAAUUAAAUCCUUUAAUAUUCAAAAUAGCGCUAAAAGAUUAAUUUAUUUCCGGAUUUCCGAGACAGACAGACAGAUAGACGGGCAGACAAAGCAUUUAUUAUCGUUCUAGGACAGGCCUUCUCAGAACGUUCAAAUAAACAUACAAAGUUAAGAAUAGCGAAAAUAGAAGUACAGUAUAAUAAUGAAAGGGGCAAGUAAAUUGAGAGAUGUAUAAAUAAUUAAAAAUAGAUUAAAAAAUAACAUAAAAAUAUAAAUAACGUUAUAAUAAUUUAAGAAAAAGAAAAAAAAA
Molecule: long non-coding RNA, 5420 nt
Organism: Monomorium pharaonis (pharaoh ant)
Lineage: Eukaryota; Metazoa; Arthropoda; Insecta; Hymenoptera; Formicidae
Exons: 2
Source: RefSeq, a predicted model, not a curated record